GUGUCAGCAGCCGCGGUAAUACGGAGGGUCCAAGCGUUAUCCGGAAUCAUUGGGUUUAAAGGGUCCGCAGGCGGGAUAAUAAGUCAGUGGUGAAAUUUCUUAGCUUAACUAAGACAUUGCCGUUGAAACUAUUGUUCUUGAAUUCGGUCGAAGUGGGCGGAAUAUGUCAUGUAGCGGUGAAAUGCAUAGAUAUGACGUGGAACUCCGAUAGCGAAGGCAGCUCACUAGGCCUGAAUUGACGCUCAGGGACGAAAGCGUGGGUAGCAAACAGGAUUAGAUACCCUGGUAGUCCACGCUGUAAACGAUGAUUACUCGAUAUCAGCGAUAUAUUGUUGGUGUCCAAGCGAAAGUGAUAAGUAAUCCACCUGGGGAGUACGAUCGCAAGGUUGAA
Molecule: ribosomal RNA, 391 nt
Filed under: uncultured bacterium
Lineage: Bacteria
Description: bacterial SSU rRNA
Rfam family: Bacterial small subunit ribosomal RNA
Source: RNAcentral